UGUUAAGGAAAUUACUAUAAUUAAUUGGUCAAAUUAGCCCGAUCCGAUGGGUCUACUCGGUUUAGGACUAGACCGAGGCUAGCAAAAUAAAUAUUCGAAAAAAAUUGGGUCUGAAAAAUUCGCUCAAACAUCUUAUUGAGCUGACUGGCAUUUGAAACUAAGAGCAUUCACGGUCCUUGUGUCUUAAGUUAGUGUUUAAAUGAUGGUCUCCACCUAAGAACCAACCCCCUGUGUCUUAGGUUGGUGCUUAAAUCUUCAUUUCCACAAAAUCUCCAAUUUUACACUUCGAUUUUAAAAUUCCAAACUUUUAUUAAAAUUAAAAUUCAAACAUUGCAAUGAAAAUAAUAUAUAAGAUUUUAAAAUUCUAAAUAUUACAAUAAUUAAAAAUUAGAUUAAAAAAUUAAAAGAAUUAAAAAAUAAUAUUUUAAAAAUUAAAAAAAAAUCAAAUAAAAAAUCAAACAAAAAAACCCAAACCCUGGCGCACACAUCCAGAAGCUUUUUCCACUCCCCCUGCCCCCGCCACCCGCCUUCUUCUUCCCCAACUUAUCUUCUCGCCAUUUCUGCAAACUUCUCGAAUUUUCUUUUUAAAUUAAACUGUGCGCUACACGCGCACGGAUCUCUUCUGCCAUGGACCCGUUGCGCUGUAGAGACUCGGCGUCGACACAAGGCGUGUCUCCAGUGCAGGUGAGGCGACGACGACGCGGAUCAACCCGGGGCGAAGGAGGAUGCUCUAACGAGUUUGAGGUUUUCAGCUGAAGAAAAUCAGAGUUGCAGUGUCAAAAAUGGUGCUCAUACAAAAAUACUGCAGCAAAAUGAAAAGAUGAUCAUGAAAGCGAAGAUCAAGGAAUGGGCCAAAGCUGUUGCUUCAGUCGAGGGUUCCACUCAUAUUGGGGUUGGAAAUUUAUAGCCUAAAUUGUUGUUGUUGUUAUCGAACUCGUAUUUUAAUUUCGUACUUUGUAAACAUUAUGCAUUUAUACGAAUUGAAUGUCUCGAAUUUCCACACUUUUUCAA
Molecule: long non-coding RNA, 1011 nt
Organism: Salvia miltiorrhiza (redroot sage)
Lineage: Eukaryota; Viridiplantae; Streptophyta; Magnoliopsida; Lamiales; Lamiaceae
Exons: 2
Source: RefSeq, a predicted model, not a curated record